This 440-nucleotide long non-coding RNA is filed under the name Androctonus crassicauda. The record is from RNAcentral. Lineage: Eukaryota; Metazoa; Arthropoda; Arachnida; Scorpiones; Buthidae.
GUCGAGAGAGAGGAGGGGGCCCCUAUAUUCUGGAGACGGGUCCGAUUGUAUUAAAGUGUGGGCCAAUGAUUGAGAAGGCGACUGGCGGACGACUGGUGUUAUCGAGAGGGGACGCCGUGUUUAAUGUCACCAGGAGCGAUAGGGAUAGGCGGGACCCGUUGGAUGUGCCGGGUGUGUAUGGGAUGGGGUUGGAUAAUAAAGAUGCCAACGAGGAAGAAAUAUAUAUCGGUUCAGCAGCCGGGUCCAUUGGGAAAGGGUUGCAUGAGCGUGGGGGUGACCGAGAGAGAAAUAAGGGUGGUGCGGCCCUGGCAGACGGGUUGGGGGCCUUUGAUGCUGCACCGAGGUGGCAAGGGGCGGAGGCCCUGAAUAUAGUGGCGGAUCCGCAAAGGCUUAAAGCUGCGGAAGCUUUAGAAGUUUAUGAUGGAGAGGCGAAGGGUAGG